UAGCGAAGAAACUAUAGUACUUCUUAGAGUACGCCGAGAUACCUAGGAAGGUGAGGCAUGGACGCCGAGCCAGCCCGAACACGACAGGAUGUCGUGUUGAGGGUGUUUCCGUACGCAUCUAACAACAAAACGCGCACUCUUAGAAGUACUUAGUUUCGUAGCGU
Molecule: regulatory RNA element, 164 nt
Organism: Anaerosporobacter mobilis DSM 15930
Lineage: Bacteria; Bacillati; Bacillota; Clostridia; Lachnospirales; Lachnospiraceae
Source: Rfam